RNAcentral lists this ribosomal RNA (316 nucleotides) under uncultured soil bacterium. RNAcentral describes it as "bacterial SSU rRNA". It matches the Rfam family "Bacterial small subunit ribosomal RNA", at positions 30 to 348 of the family's 1533-position model. The record is from RNAcentral.
AUUGAACGCUGGCGGCAGGCCUAACACAUGCAAGUCGAGCGGUUGAUGGAAGCUUGCUUCCUGAUUCAGCGGGGGACGGGUGAGUAAUGCCUAGGAAUCUGCCUGGUAGUGGGGGGCAACGUUUCGAAAGGAACGCUAAUACCGCAUACGUCCUACGGGAGAAAGCAGGGGACCUUCGGGCCUUGCGCUAUCAGAUGAGCCUAGGCCGGAUUAGCUAGUUGGUGAGGUAAUGGCUCACCAAGGCGAGAUCCGUAACUGGUCUGAGAGGAUGAUCAGUCACACUGGAACGAGACACGGUCCAGACUCCUACGGGAGG